This is a long non-coding RNA of Toxorhynchites rutilus septentrionalis, 653 nucleotides long. RefSeq lists it as uncharacterized. The transcript is spliced from 3 exons. Lineage: Eukaryota; Metazoa; Arthropoda; Insecta; Diptera; Culicidae. The record is from RefSeq and is a predicted model, not a curated record.
ACACUACACCCGGUGCAGAAGUCCGUACGGGAGAAGGAAAAAAAAAGUGCUGGUGAACAAAAUAUCGAUAGGAACUUGAUUUUACGGGUCGGUUUGUAAUCGUUCGUUGCUUCCAUUAUCGGAGAGAUAUUUGUCUUGCUUUUUUCAUCGACACACAGUGAUACCCCAGACGAAAAUCUUCCUCCCUUCAGACGGACAAUGCUCAUUCAGUUGUCUGGUGAACUGGCGAAAAUUUGCAAAGCUCGACCAAUAAUUAUAUUCUGAAGGACUCUGAACACAACGCAGGUUCCAUUACAUGCAAUCCAGUGUUUCUGUUCCUAUCGUGGGGUAUGAUGAAAUCUAUGCAGGACUGGAAAUGCCGGACAAAGUGAUAUAUGUAGUAGUCGAAUGAGCAAUAUGAAGAGAUAAGAGUCCUCGAGAGGAAUUCUGUGAACGAAGAAACUGUUGCUGAAUUCAAUCCUCGAAUCGAGCAUAGCAUUCCAAAGAGUUGUGAGAGGAAAGGAAUGGCGAUGAUUUGUGGUUGCCCGAUGGCGAUUUCUGGAGAACGAAAUCCAAUCAUUGAAUAUUCGCUUUGGGAGGGAAUGAGCUACAAUGUCAUUAUUGUGUACACGAUAAAGUCUCAUCGAAAAAGUAAAACUGUGGGGAAUGUGAUU